UAAUGCAUUUCUUUUGUUGAUGAAAUGGCCAAGAGAAUGUUCUGUAAUGGAUUUCUUUUAUUGAUCAAAUGGCCAAGAGAAUGUUCUAUAAUGCAUUUCCUAACAGGACCCUCAUCAACCAAUAUCAAUCCUCAAUUGCAAAGUAGGAGCACCAAAAGAGUUCUAGCUCCUUGAUUGCAGAACAGGAGCAACGCCACUCUAAAAAAGAAGUGUAAAACAAGCAAAUGAUAGAAAGAUGGGAUUGUCCAACUAGGCAGUUGUCCUUGGUGAUUGUGCAAGUUCACAGGAAGACAAUUGUGUAUUUUUAUCUCAAUUUUUUCAUACUUUGAUAGUGAAGUACUUUAUUAAUAAUUUUGUUCAAAGUGUGAAAUCAAAUUUUUGUUUUUGAUGUUGCUGUGUAAGUAUUUGAAAACCAGUCAAAGCACUAAACUAGCUUGUAAAAAAAGAAAAAUAGUGAGGUCAGUGCCUUAUAAG
This 474-nucleotide unclassified non-coding RNA is filed under the name Hevea brasiliensis (rubber tree). The record is from RNAcentral. Lineage: Eukaryota; Viridiplantae; Streptophyta; Magnoliopsida; Malpighiales; Euphorbiaceae.